Molecule: ribosomal RNA, 1418 nt
Filed under: uncultured bacterium
Lineage: Bacteria
Description: bacterial SSU rRNA
Rfam family: Bacterial small subunit ribosomal RNA
Source: RNAcentral
CUUACACAUGCAAGUCGAGGGGCAGCGGGGAUAGCAAUAUCUGCCGGCGACCGGCGCACGGGUGCGUAACACGUGUGUAACCUGCCUGCAACAGGGGGAUAACCUUCCGAAAGGGAGACUAAUAUCCCAUAAUACAAUAUGUACCGCAUGGUAUUUUUGUUAAAGAUUUAUCGGUUGCAGAUGGGCACGCGCAACAUUAGACAGUUGGUGAGGUAACGGCUCACCAAAUCAUCGAUGUUUAGGGGAACUGAGAGGUUGGUCCCCCACACUGGUACUGAGACAGGGACCAGACUCCUACGGGAGGCAGCAGUGAGGAAUAUUGGUCAAUGGGCGGGAGCCUGAACCAGCCAAGUCGCGUGAAGGAUGAAGGUGCUAUGCAUUGUAAACUUCUUUUUUACGGGAAUAAAAAGGGUUACGCGUAACCUGUUGUAUGUACCGUACGAAUAAGGAUCGGCUAACUCCGUGCCAGCAGCCGCGGUAAUACGGAGGAUUCGAGCGUUAUCCGGAUUUAUUGGGUUUAAAGGGUGCGCAGGCGGUUAAUCCAGUCAGAGGUGAAAUCUUGUCGCUCAACGGCAAAAUUGCCUUUGAAACUGAUUGACUUGAGUGUAAAUGAGGUAGGCGGAAUGUGAUGUGUAGCGGUGAAAUGCUUAGAUAUGUCACAGAACACCGAUUGCGAAGGCAGCUUACUGGCAUACAACUGACGCUGAGGCACGAAAGCGUGGGUAUCAAACAGGAUUAGAUACCCUGGUAGUCCACGCAGUAAACGAUGAUUACUAACUGUUUGCGAUACACGGCAAGUGGUCAAGCGAAAGCGAUAAGUAAUCCACCUGGGGAGUACGGCCGCAAGGCUGAAACUCAAAGGAAUUGACGGGGGCCCGCACAAGCGGAGGAACAUGUGGUUUAAUUCGAUGAUACGCGAGGAACCUUACCCGGGCUUGAAAGUUAGUGAAUGGAGUAGAAAUAUUUCAGUGAGCAAUCACACGAAACUAGGUGCUGCAUGGUUGUCGUCAGCUCGUGCCGUGAGGUGUCGGCUUAAGUGCCAUAACGAGCGCAACCCUUGCCAUUAGUUACCAGCAUUCAGAUGGGGACUCUAAUGGGACUGCCACCGUAAGGUGUGAGGAAGGUGGGGAUGACGUCAAAUCAGCACGGCCCUUACGUCCGGGGCGACACACGUGUUACAAUGGGAGGUACAGAGGGUUGCUACCGCGCGAGCGGAUGCUAAUCUCUUAAAACCUCUCUCAGUUCGGAUUGGAGUCUGCAACUCGACUCCAUGAAGCUGGAUUCGCUAGUAAUCGCGCAUCAGCCAUGGCGCGGUGAAUACGUUCCCGGGCCUUGUACACACCGCCCGUCAAGCCAUGGGAGUUGGGGGGACCUGAAGUACGUGACCGCAAGGAGCGUCCUAGGGUAAAACCCGAGAC